RNAcentral lists this ribosomal RNA (472 nucleotides) under uncultured bacterium. RNAcentral describes it as "bacterial SSU rRNA". It matches the Rfam family "Bacterial small subunit ribosomal RNA", at positions 329 to 793 of the family's 1533-position model. The record is from RNAcentral.
CUACGCACUACCUACGGGAGGCAGCAGUGGGGAAUAUGCACAAUGGGGGAAACCCUGAUGCAGCCAUGCCGCGUGUGUGAAGAAGGGUUUCGGCUCGUAAAGCUCUGUUGUUAAAGAAGAACACGUAUGAGAGUAACUGUUCAUACGUUGACGGUAUUUAACCAGAAAGUCACGGCUAACUACGUGCCAGCAGCCGCGGUAAUACGUAGGUGGCAAGCGUUAUCCGGAUUUAUUGGGCGUAAAGAGAGUGCAGGCGGUUUUCUAAGUCUGAUGUGAAAGCCUUCGGCUUAACCGGAGAAGUGCAUCGGAAACUGGAUAACUUGAGUGCAGAAGAGGGUAGUGGAACUCCAUGUGUAGCGGUGGAAUGCGUAGAUAUAUGGAAGAACACCAGUGGCGAAGGCGGCUACCUGGUCUGCAACUGACGCUGAGACUCGAAAGCAUGGGUAGCGAACAGGAUUAGAUACCCUGGUAG